GACGAACGCUGGCGGCGUGCUUAACACAUGCAAGUCGAACGGAAAGGCCCUGCUUUUGUGGGGUGCUCGAGUGGCGAACGGGUGAGUAACACGUGAGUAACCUGCCCUUGACUUUGGGAUAACUUCAGGAAACUGGGGCUAAUACCGGAUAGGAGCUCCUGCUGCAUGGUGGGGGUUGGAAAGUUUCGGCGGUUGGGGAUGGACUCGCGGCUUAUCAGCUUGUUGGUGGGGUAGUGGCUUACCAAGGCUUUGACGGGUAGCCGGCCUGAGAGGGUGACCGGCCACAUUGGGACUGUGAUACGGCCCAGACUCCUACGGGAGGCAGCAGUGGGGAAUAGUGCACAAUGGGCGGAAGCCUGAUGCAGCAACGCCGCGUGCGGGAUGACGGCCUUCGGGUGGUAAACCGCUUUCGCCUGUGACGAAGCGUGAGUGACGGUAAUGGGUAAAGAAGCACCGGCUAACUACGUG
Molecule: ribosomal RNA, 468 nt
Filed under: uncultured bacterium
Lineage: Bacteria
Description: partial 16S ribosomal RNA
Rfam family: Bacterial small subunit ribosomal RNA
Source: RNAcentral